This 875-nucleotide ribosomal RNA is filed under the name uncultured bacterium. RNAcentral describes it as "bacterial SSU rRNA". It matches the Rfam family "Bacterial small subunit ribosomal RNA", at positions 36 to 885 of the family's 1533-position model. The record is from RNAcentral.
CUGGCGGUAGGCUUAACACAUGCAAGUCGGACGGAAACGACAAGAACAAUCACUUCGGUGUGCGUUCUUGGGCGUCGAGUGGCGGACGGGUGAGUAAUGCCUGGGAAUCUACCCUAAUGUUGGGGACAACAUAUGGAAACGUAUGCUAAUACCGAAUAUGAUCUACGGAUUAAAGGUGCCCUCUCCUUGGAAGGUAUCGCAUUAGGAUGAGCCCAGGUGAGAUUAGCUAGUUGGUGAGGUAAUGGCUCACCAAGGCAACGAUCUCUAGCUGGUUUGAGAGGAUGAUCAGCCACACUGGGACUGAGACACGGCCCAGACUCCUACGGGAGGCAGCAGUGGGGAAUAUUGCACAAUGAGCGAAAGCUUGAUGCAGCCAUACCGCGUGUGUGAAGAAGGCCCGAGGGUUGUAAAGCACUUUCAAUUGUGAGGAAGGUAGUGUAGUUAAUACCUGCAUUGCUUGACGUUAACUUUAGAAGAAGCACCGGCUAACUCUGUGCCAGCAGCCGCGGUAAUACAGAGGGUGCAAGCGUUAUUCGGAAUUACUGGGCGUAAAGCGCGCGUAGGCGGAAUAUUAAGUCAGUUGUGAAAGCCCUGGGCUCAACCUGGGAACUGCUUCUGAUACUGGUAUUCUAGAGUUUAGUAGAGGGAAGGGGAAUUCCUAGUGUAGCAGUGAAAUGCGUAGAUAUUAGGAGGAACAUCAGUGGCGAAGGCGCCUUCCUGGACUAAAACUGACGCUGAGGUGCGAAAGCGUGGGUAGCGAACGGGAUUAGAUACCCCGGUAGUCCACGCCGUAAACGAUGUCAACUAGUUGUUGGCCUUAUUAAAAAGGUUAGUAACGAAGCUAACGCGAUAAGUUGACCGCCUGGGGAGUACGG